UACGGAGGGUGCAAGCGUUGUCCGGAUUUAUUGGGUUUAAAGGGUGCGUAGGCGGCCUUAUAAGUCAGUGGUGAAAGCCCACAGCUCAACUGUGGAACUGCCAUUGAUACUGUAAGGCUUGAGUACAGACGAGGUAGGCGGAAUUGAUGGUGUAGCGGUGAAAUGCAUAGAUACCAUCAAGAACACCGAUUGCGAAGGCAGCUUACUAGGCUGUAACUGACGCUGAGGCACGAAAGCGUGGGGAGCGAACAGG
This 253-nucleotide ribosomal RNA is filed under the name uncultured bacterium. RNAcentral's name for it is "partial 16S ribosomal RNA". It matches the Rfam family "Bacterial small subunit ribosomal RNA", at positions 524 to 776 of the family's 1533-position model. The record is from RNAcentral.